Molecule: long non-coding RNA, 1486 nt
Organism: Anguilla rostrata (American eel)
Lineage: Eukaryota; Metazoa; Chordata; Actinopteri; Anguilliformes; Anguillidae
Exons: 2
Source: RefSeq, a predicted model, not a curated record
CUACAUGCUGUUAACAAGAAGAAAAGACUCCAGUGGUCCAAGCAGCAGCAACACUGGACUACGACAGAUCGGGAAAAAACAGAUACACAUCCUUUUGGACCUGCAGAUCGUAGUUGCCAUUUCACUGUAGUCAGGGACACUGAUUUCUCUCAAGUUGCAUUGAGUUCUUUCUGCAGUUGUGAACUUUUACAACACUUUCUUUUGCUCGACGACACAAGAUAUUUGUCUUCUGCCCCUUGAUCCUCCUGGUCUUCCCCUGUUAACAUUACUGCCCAUCAGCUGGACCCUUCUGAGUGUGUGCUGAACAUGGAACCUGGAAGUCUUAAGCUUCUUUGCAAUUUCUUACUGGGAAUAAACUUGUCACAAUAUGUCUUCUUGGCCCUGCACAUCGGAGACUAACUCCUCCUUUGCCAUAUUUCUUGAAAAUGUUGUGCCUAUUUUACUUGCACUACAGGCUAAAGGUAUUAGGCUACCUGUGAUUUUAAGAAACUUAUGGUAGAUAAGAUCUCACUCAAUUUAAUUACCCCUCCAUCUCCCUCCCACUCCUCCACCUCCCAUUUUGCUAAAUGAUUGGAUUGACUUCCAAUAAUUUCCUUAAUUGUAAUUAAAGCAAAAGGAGGCUGUUUCAAGGAAAGUCAUGUCUAAUAUUAUUUUAAGUAAAACUCAUCUUGUUUUGUGGUUGGUAGAAAUUGAAAAAAAUAAUUUAUAUACUUUUAAUAUACUUUGCACAUAUAAACAGAAUUAUUCGCUACCGAACGUUUCCUACCUUAAAAAACAAACAAACAAAAAACAAAACAAAAAAAAACACAGGUGGCCUAAUGCUUUUGGCAUCGGUUGAACAUGCACAUGGUAUGCUCAACCAAAGGCAAUGCAUUGCAUUGAUAAAUCAUGGAAUAAUGUUGUACUCUUGAUCCACUAGGCUCAGUUGAACCGUGUGCUCUUCUGCUAUAUCCUUUAGGUAGUUUAAUGUUUUGUAAAUAGGAAUUAGCCAAUUCAUGUGUGGCGCGGUCCGCUAAGGACAGUAUUUGUCAAAUGAAAUAAAUCGAACAGUCUUGAAGUGUUAGUGGUGGUGAGUUUGCCACCCCCUACUGGGUGAGCUCUCUCUCUGGAGUGACAUGGGUGCGCGGCGCUUACCUUGAUGAGCUGAUUGCCUCAUUGCUUCCUCCUACCACUGGGCCUAUAUAAACUGUGCUCUGGAUAACAAACGGCAACUCUCUGUGAACAACAACAGACUCGGUUGUGGCUUCGUGCGCUACGCCGAGCCUGGAAAGGAGAAAUCCAGCGUUGGUGAGACUGCGCAAGUAGCCCGGAGAGGACAAGGCAAAGCAACGCUGAAAUCCUAUCUGGCGUCUGUUCAACAGGGAUCAAGAAAGGUAGUGAAAUGGAGCGUUUUUCUGAUUAAAGGUACGUCAGGCAGCGUAGAUCAACUGCCAUUCUCUGAUAUAGCAAGUCUGUCACCAUUACAAAUGCCUUUUCACACACAAAA